Vigna unguiculata (cowpea) is the source of this 643-nucleotide long non-coding RNA. The record is from RefSeq and is a predicted model, not a curated record. NCBI's taxonomy places the organism in Eukaryota, Viridiplantae, Streptophyta, Magnoliopsida, Fabales, Fabaceae.
UUGUUAUCAGAGGUUAAAUAGUUUAUUUCCUGAAUCACCUGAUAAAAUUGUGUUGAACAAUCUGAAUUAUAUUUUAAAUAAGCUAAUGUUUUAUUUUUGUUCAGUAGAAUGUUAUGUUGGACUAACAAAUCAUUUUGGUUUGCUUUAAUAAUUAAGAAUAACGAUUUUUCAAAAUUUAAGUUGCAAGGCCCACUUUAUUUUCUGUCCUAAUUUUUAAAUGCCUACCCUAAUCAGUUGGGUCUAAGGUUGGUUCAUAGAGUGUCAAAGACCCUAAACUAUCCUAACCAUCUCAUUCUCUACACUUUUCAGAAAAUAUCAGUUUCCCUCACUCUCUCUUAGAACGACAGUUGUGCUCUGCUAGGGUUUGGGGUCUCAUCCGUCUUCGAGUUAGCUCAACUCCAUUUUCCAGUCCACCUCGCGAAUCUACUUCAGGAGUUGUCGUGCUCAUUUACUUAAGUGUCGAAAUGUUCUGCUAGCUUUUUCCAGAUGCGAGAACUCUCCCGUCGUCAUCAGGGUGAUGGAGAUUUUGCUGCUUAGUCCGUCUUGAGUCAGAUCCCGCUUAUUUUCGAGUUUUCUUUUAAAGCGAUAACCCUUGUAUUAUCUUGUUCUUUUUUUUGAAAAUUUAUUUUGAAUACUGUUCGAG